This 503-nucleotide ribosomal RNA is filed under the name uncultured bacterium. Its description in RNAcentral is "partial 16S ribosomal RNA". It matches the Rfam family "Bacterial small subunit ribosomal RNA", at positions 30 to 523 of the family's 1533-position model. The record is from RNAcentral.
AUUGAACGCUGGCGGCAGGCUUAACACAUGCAAGUCGAGCGGGGGAAGGUAGCUUGCUACCGGACCUAGCGGCGGACGGGUGAGUAAUGCUUAGGAAUCUGCCUGUUAGUGGGGGACAACAUCUCGAAAGGGAUGCUAAUACCGCAUACGUCCUACGGGAGAAAGCAGGGGAUCACUUGUGACCUUGCGCUAAUAGAUGAGCCUAAGUCGGAUUAGCUAGUUGGUGGGGUAAAGGCCUACCAAGGCGACGAUCUGUAGCGGGUCUGAGAGGAUGAGCCGCCACACUGGGACUGAGAAACGGCCCAGACUCCUACGGGAGGCAGCAGUGGGGAAUAUUUGACAAUGGGGGGAACCCUGAUCCAGCCAUGCCGCGUGUGUGAAGAAGGCCUUAUGGUUGUAAAGCACUUUAAGCGAGGAGGAGGCUCUUUUGGUUAAUACCCAAGAUGAGUGGACGUUACUCGCAGAAUAAGCACCGGCUAACUCUGUGCCAGCCGCCGCCGUAA